UACGGGGGGGGGCAAGCGUUGUUCGGACUUACUGGGCGGAAAGGGCUCGGAGGCGGCCAACUAAGUCAGACGUGAAAUCCCUCGGCUUAACCGGGGAACUGCGUCUGAUACUGGAUGGCUCGAGUUUGGGAGAGGGAUGCGGAAUUCCAGGUGUAGCGGUGAAAUGCGUAGAUAUCUGGAGGAACACCGGUGGCGAAGGCGGCAUCCUGGACCAACACUGACGCUGAGACGCGAAAGCGUGGGGAGCGAACAGG
Molecule: ribosomal RNA, 254 nt
Filed under: uncultured bacterium
Lineage: Bacteria
Description: partial 16S ribosomal RNA
Rfam family: Bacterial small subunit ribosomal RNA
Source: RNAcentral